This 508-nucleotide ribosomal RNA is filed under the name uncultured bacterium. RNAcentral's name for it is "partial 16S ribosomal RNA". The record is from RNAcentral.
GGAGUUAGCCGGUGCUUCUUCUGUGAGUGAUGUCCUUCCUGCCGGUUAUUGACCCGCAGGCCUUCUUCCUCACUGAAAGUGCUUUACAACCCGAAGGCCUUCUUCACACACGCGGCAUGGCUGGAUCAGGGUUGCCCCCAUUGUCCAAUAUUCCCCACUGCUGCCUCCCGUAGGAGUCUGGGCCGUGUCUCAGUCCCAGUGUGGCUGAUCAUCCUCUCAGACCAGCUACGGAUCGUCGCCUUGGUGAGCCGUUACCUCACCAACCAGCUAAUCCGACAUAGGCUCAUCCGAUAGCGCGAGGCCCGAAGGUCCCCCGCUUUCCCCCGUAGGGCGUAUGCGGUAUUAGCCUGGGUUUCCCCCAGGUUAUCCCCCACUACCGGGCAGAUUCCUAUGCAUUACUCACCCGUCCGCCGCUCGCCACCAGGGAGCAAGCUCCCCGUGCUGCCGCUCGACUUGCAUGUGUUAGGCCUGCCGCCAGCGUUCAAUCUGAGCCAGGAUCAAACUCUGA